GGAGACUAUAUCCCUGAAUAAGUGCCAGGCACUGGCUCUGAACUAGCUAAAUGCUUUGCAUGUGUUAUUUCAUUAAAUCCUCACAAUAAUCCUAUGGAGUCGGUAAUUUUAUGAUUUCCAUUUUACAGGUGAGGAGACUGAGGCAGAAAGAGGUUGAAUGAUGUGUCCAAGGGAACAGAAGUCAUGAGUAGCAGAGCUGGGCUUGCUAAACCUCGUGUGGUCUUCAAGCUCAGAGAGCUGAGGUCUGAGUUUCCCUCCCGACUGCUGGGGCAAGUGCUCGCUACCAGGCCAGCUGAUUGCACAGGGCCCCUGGAUGCAUUUCUAAAGGGUCAUAUUUACAGUGUCGGAUGGUUGGGCACUGCGGAGCUUAAUGGGAUUCUUAAUAAAGGCAGCCUUCAUUAAGACGGGAGUACAGGCAAGGUGCCCUUGCGUUUGAGGAAAGGACGACCCAGUGCAAGACGGAUGCUCCCCCUUGGCUUGGAAAUCACGCGGGUCAAGUGCCUUGUCAUGCAUUAACAGCCUUUUAAGUUCCUAGGCAGAUUAAGAGGAGCGGUGUAGAUAAAUGAAAAAGAGGAAUCAUGUGAUCUGUCUUGGUAGCAUAAACAUUGAGACACAGCAGCUGCAUUUAAACACAGCAAUUUGCUAAACGAGUGGUUGGCGACUUUCCAGAUGGCCAAUGUGACACAGGGCUUGGAUGAAUCCUUUAUUCAAUCAUGCAUCUGUCUAGACAGAGACAUUGAAGGCCAGGUUAUAGCCACUGCAGGAGUGGCAGCAGCAGCAGCAGCAGCUUUGAAAGCCUUAUAUAAAACAUGCUCGGUAUUGCCCGUGAGGCAGCUUGGCCACAGAUCAGCUGGAGAGGGUGCG
Molecule: long non-coding RNA, 864 nt
Filed under: Pan troglodytes (chimpanzee)
Lineage: Eukaryota; Metazoa; Chordata; Mammalia; Primates; Hominidae
Description: long non-coding RNA NONPTRT004442
Source: RNAcentral